RNAcentral lists this long non-coding RNA (753 nucleotides) under Anser brachyrhynchus (Pink-footed goose). RNAcentral describes it as "lncRNA (ENSABRG00000014436.1)". Lineage: Eukaryota; Metazoa; Chordata; Aves; Anseriformes; Anatidae. The record is from RNAcentral.
AUGAAGUGCAUUCCCUGAGAGGCCUGAUGAAGCAGUCAAAUGCAGCAGGCAUAGAACAAUCUCCAAAUUCCUGUAUCAGCUGUCAUUAGUAACAAAAGAGAUUCACUGUGACCUAUGGAGUGACUUCAUGGCUUGAAGUUAGACCUGCCUCAUCACUGUCAUAACGGCUUAUGACUUGGGCUCUUGGUUGGAUGUGGACAAAAUCUCAGGGUUUGCCCUGCUUGUCUUGCUUGUGUGCUGUGGGACUGGGCCCUGCUUUGUGAGGCGCUGCUACUCAUGUUAUACCCAUUGGCUCUCCAGCCCUUCAGGAACAUCCAGUGUAAAGGAUGGAUAUCCAGGAUCUCCAUGUAUCUGAGACCAGGUGACAUUUCCAGUGGACAGAUCUAGUUAUUGACAAGUGAUAACACUUAUAUCGCCACUGUAUAGAUCGUCAGCCCCUCAUUUCACCUUGUUUUGGUUUUGUUGGUUUGGUUUGGUUUUUCCCAUCCCCCCUUUGUUCUAAACAGUAAAACAACAAAGGUAAUUCAAGCAAGGGGAAAAACAGAGAAAGCUAAAAUUCAUUACAAAACUUUGGAUUUCAUUUAAGCUGUGUUUCUGUACCUUUGGAAUUACUUUUUUUAAAAGCAAUCAGAAGUCCAUUCACAUUAAUAUAAUAUGGUUAUAAUUAAACCACUUGGAUUCCAACAGGACUUUCUUUGGUCCUAACUGAAAUUUGUGACAAUUUAUUGUAAAUAAAUGGAAAUUAGUGACACA